Molecule: unclassified non-coding RNA, 334 nt
Filed under: soil metagenome
Description: partial contains 5.8S ribosomal RNA, internal transcribed spacer 2, and large subunit ribosomal RNA
Rfam family: 5.8S ribosomal RNA (bases 1-120)
Source: RNAcentral
GAUGAAGAACGCAGCGAAAUGCGAUACGUAGUGUGAAUUGCAGAAUUCAGUGAAUCAUCGAAUCUUUGAACGCACAUUGCACCUCUCGGUAUUCCGGGAGGUAUGCCUGUUCGAGCGUCAUUUGUACCCUCAAGCUCUGCUUGGUGUUGGGUGUUUGUUCCGCCUCUGUGUGUGAACUCGCCUCAAAAGAAUUGGCAGCCAGCGUAUUAGUCUUGGAGCGCAGCACAUUUUGCGAUCUAGCUAGUAAAUUGGCAACCAUCAAGCCUAUUUUAACACUUGACCUCGGAUCAGGUAGGGAUACCCGCUGAACUUAAGCAUAUCAAUAAGCGGAGGA